RNAcentral lists this ribosomal RNA (425 nucleotides) under uncultured cyanobacterium. RNAcentral describes it as "bacterial SSU rRNA". It matches the Rfam family "Bacterial small subunit ribosomal RNA", at positions 356 to 795 of the family's 1533-position model. The record is from RNAcentral. Lineage: Bacteria; Bacillati; Cyanobacteriota.
GGGGAAUUUUCCGCAAUGGGGGCAACCCUGACGGAGCAAUACCGCGUGGGGGAGGAAGGCCCUUGGGUUGUAAACCCCUUUUCUCAGGGAAGAAGAACUGACGGUACCUGAGGAAUCAGCCACGGCUAACUCCGUGCCAGCAGCCGCGGUAAGACGGAGGAGGCAAGCGUUAUCCGGAAUCAUUGGGCGUAAAGCGUCCGUAGGUGGUCCUUCAAGUCUGCUGUCAAAGCCCAGGGCUCAACCCUGGAGAGGCAGUGGAAACUGAAAGACUUAGAGUGCGGUAGGGGUAGAGGGAAUUCCCGGUGUAGCGGUGAAAUACGUAGAGAUCAGGAAGAACACCGGUGGCGAAAGCGCUCUGCUAGGCCGUAACUGACACUGAGGGACGAAAGCUAGGGGAGCGAAUGGGAUUAGAUACCCCAGUAGUC